RNAcentral lists this ribosomal RNA (253 nucleotides) under uncultured bacterium. Its description in RNAcentral is "partial 16S ribosomal RNA". It matches the Rfam family "Bacterial small subunit ribosomal RNA", at positions 524 to 776 of the family's 1533-position model. The record is from RNAcentral.
GACGAACUGUCCUAACGUUGUUCGGAAUCACUGGGCUUAAAGGGCGCGUAGGCGGUCCGACAAGUCGGGGGUGAAAUCCUGCAGCUCAACUGCAGAAGUGCCUUCGAUACUGUUGGUCUGGAGGGAGAUAGGGGUGUGCGGAACUUCCAGUGGAGCGGUGAAAUGCGUUGAUAUUGGAAGGAACGCCGGAGGCGAAAGCGGCGCACUGGAUCUCUUCUGACGCUGAGGCGCGAAAGCUAGGGGAGCAAACGGG